Molecule: ribosomal RNA, 257 nt
Filed under: uncultured bacterium
Lineage: Bacteria
Description: partial small subunit ribosomal RNA
Rfam family: Bacterial small subunit ribosomal RNA
Source: RNAcentral
AGGACGAACGCUGGCGGCGUGCUUAACACAUGCAAGUCGAACGGUGAUGGGGAGCUUGCUUCUCUGAUCAGUGGCGAACGGGUGAGUAACACGUGAGUAACCUGCCCUCGACUCUGGGAUAAGCGUUGGAAACGACGUCUAAUACCGGAUACGACCUCGGAUGGCAUCUUCUGGGGUGAAAGAGUUUCGGUCGAGGAUGGACUCGCGGCCUAUCAGCUUGUUGGUGAGGUAGUGGCUCACCAAGGCGACGACGGGUA